This 628-nucleotide ribosomal RNA is filed under the name Absidia sp. (in: mucoromycotan fungi). RNAcentral describes it as "Absidia sp. (in: Fungi) partial large subunit ribosomal RNA". It matches the Rfam family "Eukaryotic large subunit ribosomal RNA", at positions 75 to 610 of the family's 3401-position model. Lineage: Eukaryota; Fungi; Mucoromycota; Mucoromycetes; Mucorales; Cunninghamellaceae. The record is from RNAcentral.
UUCCCUCAGUAAUGGCGAAUGAACAGGGAAAAGCUCAAAGUUGGAACCUCCUUCCCCUAGGGUGGGCGGAUUGUAAACUAAAGUUUUUGGGUAGUUUGGCUAGCUCGGUAAAUAAGUUCUCUGGAAAGAGGCGACAAAGAGGGUGAGAUCCCCGUUUUUGGCCGAAGUUUAGUCUUGCGUUUGCCCAGAAAUGAAGAGUCAGGUUGUUUGGUAUUGCAGCCUAAAGUGGGAGGUAAAUCUCUCCUAAAGCUAAAUAUUGACGAAAGACCGAUAGCGAACAAGUACCGUGAGGGAAAGAUGAAAAGCACCUUGAAAAGGGGGUCAAAAAGUACGUGAAAUUGCUGAAAGGGAACCGUAUGAAAUCAGUCUGGCCUAGUAGUAAUCAACCUGAACUUUGGUUUGGGUGCACUUGCUAUCAGGUACAGCCUACGACAAUUUUGCUUGGGGGAAAAAAUCAGGGGAAAUGUAGCUUUGACUUCGGUGAAAGUGUUAUAGUCCUUUGAAAAAUACUCUGAGUGGGAUUGAGGAACGCAGCAAGCCUUUUGGGAUGAACUGUGGGUGCUUAUUUGGGCAUAAAGGGAAAUUUCUAUUCAGGUAGUGUCUUUUUAUGGCUGAGUAACUCGCCUAC